AUCCGGAAUCACUGGGUUUAAAAGGGUGCGCAGGCGGAAUAGUAAGUCAGAGGUGAAAGCCCACAGCUCAACUGUGGAAUUGCCUUGGAUACUGGUUAUUCUUGAGUGUAGUUGAAGUAGGCGGAAUAUAGCAUGUAGCGGUGAAAUGCAUAGAUAUGCUAUAGAACACCAAUUGCGAAGGCAGCUUGCUAAACUAUAACUGACGCUGAGGCACGAAAGCGUGGGGAGCGAACAGGAUUAGAUACCCUGGUAGUCCACGCCGUAAACUAUGAACACUCGCUGUUGGCAAUACACAGUCAGCGGCUGAGCGAAAGCGUUAAGUGUUCCACCUGGGAAGUACGAUCGCAAGGUUGAAACUCAAAGGAAUUGACGGGGGCCCGCACAAGCGGAGGAGCAUGUGGUUUAAUUCGAUGAUACGCGAGGAACCUUACCUGGGCUUAAAUGUAUAUUGACGUACUGAGAAAUCAGUAUUUCUUCGGACAAUUUACAAGGUGCUGCAUGGUUGUCGUCAGCUCGUGCCGUGAGGUGUCGGGUUAAGUCCCAUAACGAGCGCAACCCCUACUUCUAGUUACCAGCAUUUCGGAUGGGGACUCUAGAGGAACUGCCUACGCAAGUAGAGAGGAAGGUGGGGAUGACGUCAAAUCAGCACGGCCCUUAUGUCCAGGGCUACACACGUGCUACAAUGGCCGGUACAGAGGGCAGCUACAUAGCAAUAUGAUGCUAAUCUCAAAAGCCGGUCUCAGUCCGGAUUGGAGUCUGCAACUCGACUCCAUGAAGCUGGAUUCGCUAGUAAUCGCACAUCAGCAAUGGAGCGGUGAAUACGUUCCCGGGCCUUGUACACACCGCCCGUCAAGCCAUGGAAGUUGGGGGUACCUGAAGUCGAUUGCCGUAAGG
This 894-nucleotide ribosomal RNA is filed under the name uncultured organism. RNAcentral describes it as "bacterial SSU rRNA". It matches the Rfam family "Bacterial small subunit ribosomal RNA", at positions 543 to 1447 of the family's 1533-position model. The record is from RNAcentral.